Long non-coding RNA from Abrus precatorius (Indian licorice), 184 nucleotides. RefSeq lists it as uncharacterized. NCBI's taxonomy places the organism in Eukaryota, Viridiplantae, Streptophyta, Magnoliopsida, Fabales, Fabaceae. The transcript is spliced from 3 exons. The record is from RefSeq and is a predicted model, not a curated record.
CAAAAAGACAAAGACAAAUACCGAAAAUAGUGAUUGUGAGGAAGACACUAGACAGAGCCAAGACAAUAACCAAACAACGUCACCAGAGUUGAAAAGAAUUAUCAUUCAGCAUUGGAGAUAGGAACCUAUCAUGUUUUCAUACAGUCUAUAAGAUAGUAAGGACCACAGAGAUUGUUGACAUACA